UUCACCUCUCUGAAUCUCCUCUUCCAGAGACAACAUCCAUCUAUAUUUUUAUUGCAAGAUGAGAUGAUUACAUUCAUCCGCAAGCUCUGCUCCAAGUUCCUCUUGCCCACAGUACUGCAGACCCACCUUAAGCCUCAGGACAUCCCAUAUGUGGAUAAGGAGAACCAUCUGCCUGGAUACAAACUGAAUGUCGGCUUCAUCACCAGGGUGAGGCUCAAUCAUCUCCUGGAUGCUGGGGACAUCACCGCCCAGAAAGUGGAGUUAUUC
Long non-coding RNA from Trematomus bernacchii (emerald rockcod), 267 nucleotides. RefSeq lists it as uncharacterized. NCBI's taxonomy places the organism in Eukaryota, Metazoa, Chordata, Actinopteri, Perciformes, Nototheniidae. The transcript is spliced from 3 exons. The record is from RefSeq and is a predicted model, not a curated record.